UUGCAUUAAGUAAGCUUUCCAUUCUUAUUAUGCAUUUGUUGGUUGUAAUCUUUUCGCCUCUGCUGUUCUAAUUUUGGGGUCUUUAGCAACAAUGCAUAAAAUGAAAACUAUUCAGUCGAUGAUAGUGGUCAGACAACCAUGGAUGGAUCCACAAAUGACUUGACUACAGUUUCAGUUUGUUCAUUAAUACCAUCUCAUAUAU
Molecule: small nucleolar RNA, 202 nt
Filed under: Musa acuminata subsp. malaccensis (wild Malaysian banana)
Lineage: Eukaryota; Viridiplantae; Streptophyta; Magnoliopsida; Zingiberales; Musaceae
Description: small nucleolar RNA snoR143
Rfam family: small nucleolar RNA snoR143
Source: Rfam by way of RNAcentral